This 379-nucleotide ribosomal RNA is filed under the name uncultured phototrophic eukaryote. RNAcentral describes it as "bacterial SSU rRNA". It matches the Rfam family "Bacterial small subunit ribosomal RNA", at positions 376 to 769 of the family's 1533-position model. The record is from RNAcentral.
CGAAAGCCUGACGGAGCAAUACCGCGUGAGGGAUGACGGCCUAUGGGUUGUAAACCUCUUUUCUCAGGGAGGAAAUCAAUGACGUUACCUGAGGAAUAAGCAUCGGCUAACUCCGUGCCAGCAGCCGCGGUAAGACGGAGGAUGCAAGUGCUAUCCGGAAUCACUGGGCGUAAAGCGUCUGUAGGUGGCUUAACAAGUCAACUGUUAAAUCUUGAAGCUCAACUUCGAAAUCGCAGUCGAAACUGUUAGGCUAGAGUAUAGUAGGGGUAAAGGGAAUUUCCAGUGGAGCGGUGAAAUGCGUAGAGAUUGGAAAGAACACCGAUGGCGAAGGCACUUUACUGGGCUAUUACUGACACUCAGAGACGAAAGCUAGGGUAGC